Molecule: ribosomal RNA, 527 nt
Filed under: uncultured bacterium
Lineage: Bacteria
Description: bacterial SSU rRNA
Rfam family: Bacterial small subunit ribosomal RNA
Source: RNAcentral
GAGUUUGAUCUUGGCUCAGAAUCAACGCUGGCGGCGUGCCUAACACAUGCAAGUCGAACGCGAAAGCCCUGCAAGGGGUGAGUAGAGUGGCAAACGGGGUGAGUAACACGUGGGUGAUCUGCCUCAGAGUGGGGGAUAACGACCCGAAAGGGUCGCUAAUACCGCAUAACAUCCUGCCUUUGGAUAGGUGGAGAUCAAAGCCGGGGACCGCAAGGCCUGGCGCUUAGAGAGGAGCCCGCGGCCGAUUAGCUAGUUGGUGAGGUAACGGCUCACCAAGGCAACGAUCGGUAUCCGGCCUGAGAGGGCGGACGGACACACUGGGACUGAGACACGGCCCAGACUCCUACGGGAGGCAGCAGUGGGGAAUUGUUCGCAAUGGGCGCAAGCCUGACGACGCAACGCCGCGUGGAGGACGAAGAUUUUCGGAUCGUAAACUCCUUUCGAUCGGGAAGAACAGCUUUGGUUAACAGCCUGAGAGUCUGACGGUACCGAGAGAAGAAGCCCGGCUAACUCUGUGCCAGCAGCCG